GUUUGGCUUUGGUGGCAGAUGUGAAGGAGGCUGCGCCAUAGGCAUCCCCUCGAAAUGCCCGGUUGAAUUGGAGACGUAUGUUUUCUUUUCUUUUUUUCCCUUCAAAAUUGAAGCCUCCUCUUUGCUGAAUAAAGGCUCCUCUUGGUUUUAGUGUCUCAUUUCGAUGAAUUUUGGGCUCUCAAAUGUGUCUGCAAAAUUGCAAACCUUUCUUUUGUAUUGGGGUUCCAAUUUUCCGGGUGAUAAGUCUUUCCUCUUUUUUUUAAAUAUUUACUCUCAUGUCUCUGUCCAAAACAUUUUUUUUAUAGUACGUUUUGUGCAAUGUACAAAUAUAUUAUAGGAAUAGAAGAUGAAUCUGUCUUUUCAACAAACAGCAAGAGUUACAUAUUCUGCGAGUACUUUACUCCACCAGUUUUAGAAUGAAUUUUUUUAUAAAAACAUUAUCUCUUUAAACUCAACAUUUAAUUUUGAAUUUUCCAAUGAAAAUGACACAAUUUUUGGUACAGUUUUCUUCCGAUAAUUGGAGUAGGCAAGUAGCAAAGGAUAAACUAUCAAAAUCGUAGGUAGGUUACAGGAACCCAAAUUAUUGUAAAAUUUGAUUGGUAAAGAUUUAAAAGUAUGUUAGAUUGACAAUAAAAAAGUGAAAGAUCAAUUACAGAGAAAUGGGUGGCGCGAGUGGUCUUAAUUGUUGCAUGUCUUCCUUAUAUGUGCAUAUUCUGUCUAUUAUUCUCUAUUUCAUGAUUGAUUUGAUUAUCUGUUUUUAUCCUCUAGGUUUGUUGGGAUGUUAAUAAGGUUUUGUGCUUUUGCAAAAUAUUGGUUCAUCCUUUCAAUUUAUAUGAUAUGAAUGUGUCCUGUAGUAUGCGUAUUUUAAAUUUCUUAUUUGACGAUUUAUGAGCUGAAAUGGGAUGUGCCACAAUUUGGUACAUACAUGCCGCCACUAAGCUGUG
This 944-nucleotide long non-coding RNA is filed under the name Prunus dulcis (almond). Its description in RNAcentral is "sRNA ncRNA". The record is from RNAcentral. Lineage: Eukaryota; Viridiplantae; Streptophyta; Magnoliopsida; Rosales; Rosaceae.